Molecule: long non-coding RNA, 1023 nt
Filed under: Anas platyrhynchos platyrhynchos (common mallard)
Lineage: Eukaryota; Metazoa; Chordata; Aves; Anseriformes; Anatidae
Description: lncRNA (ENSAPLG00000023071.1)
Source: RNAcentral
GUACAUAUUCAAGGACAUUGCAUAUGCAUGAUGGAGUAAAAGACAAAAGUCACCGUAAUACAAAGAACUUAGUAAAGCUGGGCUAGGACCAUGGUCCAGAGCACCUGUGUGCCAAGUGAGUGAAACCACAUGCCAGCCUCAGAGAGGGACCUCAGACCACAGGGACCUGUUUUUCUGUGGAGCUAGCAGCUGGUGCAAGUAUGGGUGUGCAGGAAACUCAUUUCAUGCAGACCCAUCCAGUGUGACCCAAGUGUUUUCAGAAACAUGGCUUAACAGGACAAAGCUCUUCAUACUGUGGAAAUGCAGUGCAUUCACAAAUACUUUGCUGAGAGAUAGUAACGUGGAUAUUUUUCUGGAUGAGUAUUCAGUCACCUUCAUUCAUCUGCUUACACCUUCCCUUUCCCUCCUUCAGCAGUUUGUGUAUCAUUUGAAGACUGUAUCAGUAAUUAUUUUUCCCCAAGACAUUCAUAACUGUGUUAAGUAGCUUAGAGCCAAAAAUUGAUCCCUGUGAAUUAACUUCCAUAUCCACUUAACAGUGGAUACAGUGAAUCUCACUUUUAAUUACACUGACUUAUUUUUAAUAGACUUUAUGUAUGCUGUGUAUUUUUUUUAUUGCUUUACAAUAUUUAUCAAGACACUGUGCCAUAUCAAGGCAGUGAUAGAAAUCCAAGAAUAUUACACCAAUGGUACCUUUACAAGUCAAAAUUUUAUAUGUCAAAAAAUCAAACCAAAACUCGUUACUUUGACAACAUCUGUUAUACAGAAACCUGUGUUGAUUUGUUUUAAUUAAAUUACUCUUUUUAUUCUUUAUAAGUUGAGUCCCAUAUUAAGUGAUUCAGUAUUUUUAUUCAGUCUGAUUUUAAGAUGACAAGUUUAAUAUUAAAUGGAUUAUUCUAUUUAUAGUUUUUUUUUUUUUAAAUAUUGGCAAUACAUUCAUUUUUCUUCCAGGUGUUUCCUGAAUGUCCUCCAUGUUUCAAUACUUCUGAAAAUAAACCUUGACAGAGUAGAGAACUCCUCUGAUAC